AAUGGGUCAGCGACUUAUAUUCUGUAGCAAGGUUAACCGAAUAGGGGAGCCGAAGGGAAACCGAGUCUUAACUGGGCGUUAAGUUGCAGGGUAUAGACCCGAAACCCGGUGAUCUAGCCAUGGGCAGGUUGAAGGUUGGGUAACACUAACUGGAGGACCGAACCGACUAAUGUUGAAAAAUUAGCGGAUGACUUGUGGCUGGGGGUGAAAGGCCAAUCAAACCGGGAGAUAGCUGGUUCUCCCCGAAAGCUAUUUAGGUAGCGCCUCGUGAAUUCAUCUCCGGGGGUAGAGCACUGUUUCGGCAAGGGGGUCAUCCCGACUUACCAACCCGAUGCAAACUGCGAAUACCGGAGAAUGUUAUCACGGGAGACACACGGCGGGUGCUAACGUCCGUCGUGAAGAGGGAAACAACCCAGACCGCCAGCUAAGGUCCCAAAGUCAUGGUUAAGUGGGAAACGAUGUGGGAAGGCCCAGACAGCCAGGAUGUUGGCUUAGAAGCAGCCAUCAUUUAAAGAAAGCGUAAUAGCUCACUGGUCGAGUCGGCCUGCGCGGAAGAUGUAACGGGGCUAAACCAUGCACCGAAGCUGCGGCAGCGACGCUGAUGCGUUGUUGGGUAGGGGAGCGUUCUGUAAGCCUGUGAAGGUGUGCUGUGAGGCAUGCUGGAGGUAUCAGAAGUGCGAAUGCUGACAUAAGUAACGAUAAAGCGGGUGAAAAGCCCGCUCGCCGGAAGACCAAGGGUUCCUGUCCAACGUUAAUCGGGGCAGGGUGAGUCGACCCCUAAGGCGAGGCCGAAAGGCGUAGUCGAUGGGAAACAGGUUAAUAUUCCUGUACUUGGUGUUACUGCGAAGGGGGGACGGAGAAGGCUAUGUUGGCCGGGCGACGGUUGUCCCGGUUUAAGCGUGUAGGCUGGUUUUCCAGGCAAAUCCGGAAAAUCAAGGCUGAGGCGUGAUGACGAGGCACUACGGUGCUGAAGCAACAAAUGCCCUGCUUCCAGGAAAAGCCUCUAAGCAUCAGGUAACAUCAAAUCGUACCCCAAACCGACACAGGUGGUCAGGUAGAGAAUACCAAGGCGCUUGAGAGAACUCGGGUGAAGGAACUAGGCAAAAUGGUGCCGUAACUUCGGGAGAAGGCACGCUGAUAUGUAGGUGAGGUCCCUCGCGGAUGGAGCUGAAAUCAGUCGAAGAUACCAGCUGGCUGCAACUGUUUAUUAAAAACACAGCACUGUGCAAACACGAAAGUGGACGUAUACGGUGUGACGCCUGCCCGGUGCCGGAAGGUUAAUUGAUGGGGUUAGCGGUAACGCGAAGCUCUUGAUCGAAGCCCCGGUAAACGGCGGCCGUAACUAUAACGGUCCUAAGGUAGCGAAAUUCCUUGUCGGGUAAGUUCCGACCUGCACGAAUGGCGUAAUGAUGGCCAGGCUGUCUCCACCCGAGACUCAGUGAAAUUGAACUCGCUGUGAAGAUGCAGUGUACCCGCGGCAAGACGGAAAGACCCCGUGAACCUUUACUAUAGCUUGACACUGAACAUUGAGCCUUGAUGUGUAGGAUAGGUGGGAGGCUUUGAAGUGUGGACGCCAGUCUGCAUGGAGCCGACCUUGAAAUACCACCCUUUAAUGUUUGAUGUUCUAACGUUGACCCGUAAUCCGGGUUGCGGACAGUGUCUGGUGGGUAGUUUGACUGGGGCGGUCUCCUCCUAAAGAGUAACGGAGGAGCACGAAGGUUGGCUAAUCCUGGUCGGACAUCAGGAGGUUAGUGCAAUGGCAUAAGCCAGCUUGACUGCGAGCGUGACGGCGCGAGCAGGUGCGAAAGCAGGUCAUAGUGAUCCGGUGGUUCUGAAUGGAAGGGCCAUCGCUCAACGGAUAAAAGGUACUCCGGGGAUAACAGGCUGAUACCGCCCAAGAGUUCAUAUCGACGGCGGUGUUUGGCACCUCGAUGUCGGCUCAUCACAUCCUGGGGCUGAAGUAGGUCCCAAGGGUAUGGCUGUUCGCCAUUUAAAGUGGUACGCGAGCUGGGUUUAGAACGUCGUGAGACAGUUCGGUCCCUAUCUGCCGUGGGCGCUGGAGAACUGAGGGGGGCUGCUCCUAGUACGAGAGGACCGGAGUGGACGCAUCACUGGUGUUCGGGUUGUCAUGCCAAUGGCACUGCCCGGUAGCUAAAUGCGGAAGAGAUAAGUGCUGAAAGCAUCUAAGCACGAAACUUGCC
Molecule: ribosomal RNA, 2201 nt
Filed under: Escherichia coli
Lineage: Bacteria; Pseudomonadati; Pseudomonadota; Gammaproteobacteria; Enterobacterales; Enterobacteriaceae
Description: partial 23S ribosomal RNA
Rfam family: Bacterial large subunit ribosomal RNA
Source: RNAcentral